RNAcentral lists this ribosomal RNA (315 nucleotides) under uncultured eukaryote. Its description in RNAcentral is "partial 18S ribosomal RNA". It matches the Rfam family "Eukaryotic small subunit ribosomal RNA", at positions 1470 to 1796 of the family's 1831-position model. The record is from RNAcentral.
CCCUUAGACGUUCUGGGCCGCACGCGCGCUACACUGACCGGUGCAACAAGCAUCCGUCCUUGGCCGACAGGCCCGGGCAAUCUUUGAACGCCGGUCGUGAUGGGGAUAGACUUUUGCAAUUUUUGGUCUUCAACGAGGAAUUCCUAGUAAACGCAAGUCAUCAACUUGCAUUGAUUACGUCCCUGCCCUUUGUACACACCGCCCGUCGCACCUACCGAUUGAAUGGUCCGGUGAAGCCUCCGGAUUGGCGCGCACCUCGGUGCCGCCGAGAAGUUGGCUAAACCUUACCAUUUAGAGGAAGGUGAANUCGUAACA